This 464-nucleotide ribosomal RNA is filed under the name uncultured bacterium. RNAcentral's name for it is "partial 16S ribosomal RNA". It matches the Rfam family "Bacterial small subunit ribosomal RNA", at positions 29 to 507 of the family's 1533-position model. The record is from RNAcentral.
ACGAACGCUGGCGGCGUGCUUCACACAUGCCAGUCGAACGGAAAGGCCCCUUUGGGGGUACUCGAGUGGCGAACGGGUGAGUAACACGUGAGUAACCUGCCCUUGACUUCGGGAUAACUUCAGGAAACUGGGGCUAAUACCGGAUAGGAAUCCUUGCUGCAUGGUGGGGGUUGGAAAGCUUCGGCGGUUUUGGAUGGACUCGCGGCUUAUCAGCUUGUUGGUGGGGUAGUGGCUUACCAAGGCUUUGACGGGUAGCCGGCCUGAGAGGGCGACCGGCCACAUUGGGACUGAGAUACGGCCCAGACUCCUACGGGAGGCAGCAGUGGGGAAUAUUGCACAAUGGGCGGAAGCCUGAUGCAGCAACGCCGCGUGCGGGAGGACGGCCUUCGGGUUGUAAACCGCUUUCAGCAGGGGCGAAGCUUGUGGUGACGGUACCUGCAGAAGAAGCACCGGCUAACUACGUG